GAUGAAGAACGUAGCGAAAUGCGAUAAGUAAUGCGAAUUGCAGAAUUCCGUGAGUCAUCGAAUCUUUGAACGCACAUUGCGCCCUCUGGUAUUCCGGAGGGCAUGCCUGUCUGAGCGUCAUUGUCAACCCUCAAGCUCAGCUUGCUGUUGGGUCCCCGUCGUUGCUUUAACGGCGGACCCGAAAGGUAAUGGCAGAGUCCGUGAGACCCUAGACGCAGCGAGCUUCUAGCACGCGUCUGGACGUUUUUCGGGCUCGGUCUUAACUAGAUGAUAACUUCCGAUUGACCUCAUAUCAGGUAGGGAUACCCGCUGAACUUAAGCAUAUCAAUAAGCGGAGGA
This 339-nucleotide unclassified non-coding RNA is filed under the name soil metagenome. RNAcentral describes it as "partial contains 5.8S ribosomal RNA, internal transcribed spacer 2, and large subunit ribosomal RNA". The stretch from base 1 to 120 matches the Rfam family "5.8S ribosomal RNA", at positions 35 to 154 of the family's 154-position model. The record is from RNAcentral.